Molecule: long non-coding RNA, 434 nt
Filed under: Callithrix jacchus (white-tufted-ear marmoset)
Lineage: Eukaryota; Metazoa; Chordata; Mammalia; Primates; Cebidae
Description: lncRNA (ENSCJAG00000086211.1)
Source: RNAcentral
CAGCAAUUAAAGUAUGUUUAGUAGGAAUAGUAAUGUUGUUGAAGUAAUGGCAUUAUUUUUCUUUUUUUCCCAGAUCGCAGUGUGUGAUGCUCCCCUCCCUGUGUCCAUGUGUUCUCAUUGUUCAACACUGGCCUAUGAACAGUCUGGCUCUGUUGCCCAAGUUGGAGUGCAAUGUUGUGAUCUUGGCUCACUGCAACUUUCAACUAUGCAGUUCAAGCAAUUCUCCUGCCUCAGCCUCCUGAGUAGCUGGGACUACAGGCACCUUUUCACCACGCCUGGUUAAUUUUUAUAUUUUUAGUAGAGACCAGGUUUCUCCAAACAGGCUAGAAUAUUUUUUCAAGUCAAAAAUUUAGCGAGGAUUAGAGGUAAGUGUCACCAUGCCCAGCUAAUUUUGUAUUUUUAGUAAAGACGGGGCUUUCUCCGUGUUGGUCAGG